RNAcentral lists this ribosomal RNA (425 nucleotides) under uncultured bacterium. RNAcentral's name for it is "partial 16S ribosomal RNA". It matches the Rfam family "Bacterial small subunit ribosomal RNA", at positions 354 to 796 of the family's 1533-position model. The record is from RNAcentral.
GUGGGGAAUAUUGGACAAUGGGCGCAAGCCUGAUCCAGCCAUGCCGCGUGAGUGAUGAAGGCCUUAGGGUUGUAAAGCUCUUUCAGUGGGGACGAUAAUGACGGUACCCACAGAAGAAGCCCCGGCUAACUUCGUGCCAGCAGCCGCGGUAAUACGAAGGGGGCUAGCGUUGUUCGGAUUUACUGGGCGUAAAGCGCACGUAGGCGGGUCGUUAAGUCAGGGGUGAAAUCCUGGAGCUCAAAUCCAGAACUGCCUUUGAUACUGGCGACCUAGAGUCCGGAAGAGGUGAGUGGAACUCCUAGUGUAGAUGUGGAAUUCGUAGAUAUUAGGAAGAACACCAGUGGCGAAGGCGGCUCACUGGUCCGGUACUGACGCUGAGGUGCGAAAGCGUGGGGAGCAAACAGGAUUAGAUACCCCGGUAGUCC